RNAcentral lists this transfer RNA (76 nucleotides) under Actinomycetes bacterium. RNAcentral's name for it is "Actinobacteria bacterium tRNA-Phe". It matches the Rfam family "tRNA". From Rfam's summary of the family: Transfer RNA (tRNA) molecules are approximately 80 nucleotides in length. Their secondary structure includes four short double-helical elements and three loops (D, anti-codon, and T loops). Further hydrogen bonds mediate the characteristic L-shaped molecular structure. tRNAs have two regions of fundamental functional importance: the anti-codon, which is responsible for specific mRNA codon recognition, and the 3' end, to which the tRNAs corresponding amino acid is attached (by aminoacyl-tRNA synthetases). tRNAs cope with the degeneracy of the genetic code in two manners: having more than one tRNA (with a specific anti-codon) for a particular amino acid; and 'wobble' base-pairing, i.e. permitting non-standard base-pairing at the 3rd anti-codon position. Lineage: Bacteria; Bacillati; Actinomycetota; Actinomycetes. The record is from RNAcentral.
GGCCAGGUAGCUCAGUUGGAAGAGCACGGGUCUGAAGAACCCGGUGUCGGCGGUUCGAUCCCGUCCCUGGCCACGA